GAAUUCGCCCUUAGAGUUUGAUUUUGGCUCAGGAUGAACGCUGGCGGCGUGCUUAACACAUGCAAGUCGAACGAAGAAGGUUAGAAUGAGAGCUUCGGCAGGAUUUCUUUCCAUCUUAGUGGCGGACGGGUGAGUAACGUGUGGGCAACCUGCCCUGUACUGGGGAAUAAUCAUUGGAAACGAUGACUAAUACCGCAUGUGGUCCUCGGAAGGCAUCUUCUGAGGAAGAAAGGAUUUAUUCGGUACAGGAUGGGCCCGCAUCUGAUUAGCUAGUUGGUGAGAUAACAGCCCACCAAGGCGACGAUCAGUAGCCGACCUGAGAGGGUGAUCGGCCACAUUGGGACUGAGACACGGCCCAAACUCCUACGGGAGGCAGCAGUGGGGAAUAUUGCACAAUGGGCGAGAGCCUGAUGCAGCAACGCCGCGUGAAGGAUGAAGGGUUUCGGCUCGUAAACUUCUAUCAAUAGGGAAGAAACAAAUGACGGUACCUAAAUAAGAAGCCCCGGCUAACUACGUGCCAGCAGCCGCGGUAAUACGUAGGGGGCAAGCGUUAUCCGGAAUUACUGGGUGUAAAGGGAGCGUAGGCGGCAUGGUAAGCCAGAUGUGAAAGCCUUGGGCUUAACCCGAGGAUUGCAUUUGGAACUAUCAAGCUAGAGUACAGGAGAGGAAAGCGGAAUUCCUAGUGUAGCGGUGAAAUGCGUAGAUAUUAGGAAGAACACCAGUGGCGAAGGCGGCUUUCUGGACUGAAACUGACGCUGAGGCUCGAAAGCGUGGGGAGCAAACAGGAUUAGAUACCCUGGUAGUCCACGCCGUAAACG
This 818-nucleotide ribosomal RNA is filed under the name uncultured bacterium. Its description in RNAcentral is "bacterial SSU rRNA". It matches the Rfam family "Bacterial small subunit ribosomal RNA", at positions 1 to 808 of the family's 1533-position model. The record is from RNAcentral.